Molecule: ribosomal RNA, 422 nt
Filed under: Laparocerus colonnellii
Lineage: Eukaryota; Metazoa; Arthropoda; Insecta; Coleoptera; Curculionidae
Description: partial 16S ribosomal RNA
Source: RNAcentral
GGUAUUUUGACCGUGCAAAGGUAGCAUAAUCAAUAGUUUUUUAAUUGAAAGCUGGAAUGAAAGGUUGGAUGAGAAAUAAGCUGUCUCUAUUUAAUUUUAUUAGAAUUUUAUUUUUAAGUUAAAAAGCUUAAAUUUUGAUAGAAGACGAGAAGACCCUAUAGAGUUUUAUUUAUUUUUUUAAUAAGAUUAUUAGUAUAAAUUAUUUUUAUUUAAAAAAUAAAUUUAGUUGGGGUGAUUGAAAAAUUUAAUAAACUUUUUAUAUAAAAAUACAUUAAUUUAUGAGUGAUUGAUCCUUUAAUUAAGAUUAAAAGAUAAAAUUACCUUAGGGAUAACAGCGUAAUUUUUUUUAAGAGUUCUAAUCGAAAAAAAAGAUUGCGACCUCGAUGUUGGAUUAAAAUAAAAUUUUGGUGUAGAAGCUAGAA